GGUGCUGCAUGGUCGUCGUCAGCUCGUGCCGUGAGGUGUCGGGUUAAGUCCCGCAACGAGCGCAACCCCGCCGUUAGUUGCCAGCGGUUCGGCCGGGCACUCUAACGGGACUGCCCGCGAAAAGCGGGAGGAAGGAGGGGACGACGUCUGGUCAGCAUGGCCCUUACGGCCUGGGCGACACACGUGCUACAAUGCCCACUACAAAGCGAUGCCACCCGGCAACGGGGAGCUAAUCGCAAAAGGUGGGCCCAGUUCGGAUUGGGGUCUGCAACCCGACCCCAUGAAGCCGGAAUCGCUAGUAAUCGCGGAUCAGCCAUGCCGCGGUGAAUACGGUUCCCGGGCCUU
This 345-nucleotide ribosomal RNA is filed under the name uncultured Thermus sp. Its description in RNAcentral is "bacterial SSU rRNA". It matches the Rfam family "Bacterial small subunit ribosomal RNA", at positions 1037 to 1382 of the family's 1533-position model. The record is from RNAcentral. Lineage: Bacteria; Thermotogati; Deinococcota; Deinococci; Thermales; Thermaceae.